AGCUCUUCUUCUUCUUCUUCUUCUUCUUCUUCUUCUCCUUCUUCUUCU
RNAcentral lists this small RNA (48 nucleotides) under Arabidopsis thaliana (thale cress). RNAcentral's name for it is "ATSL001560". The record is from RNAcentral. Lineage: Eukaryota; Viridiplantae; Streptophyta; Magnoliopsida; Brassicales; Brassicaceae.